UGAAAUCUGGCUUUCGGGCCCGAGUUGUAAUUUGUAGAGGGGAUUUCGGAGGCGGCGCCGGCCUAAGUUCCUUGGAACAGGGCGUCAUAGAGGGUGAGAAUCCCGUACGUGGCCGGCGGUCAAUUCCAUGCGAAGCCCCUUCGACGAGUCGAGUUGUUUGGGAAUGCAGCUCAAAAUGGGUGGUAAAUUUCAUCUAAAGCUAAAUACCGGCCAGAGACCGAUAGCGCACAAGUAGAGUGAUCGAAAGAUGAAAAGCACUUUGGAAAGAGAGUUAAAAAGUACGUGAAAUUGUUGAAAGGGAAGCGCUUGCAACCAGACUUGCUCACGGGUGAUCAGCCCCCCUUCGCGGGGGGUGCACUCGCCCGCGAUCAGGCCAGCAUCGGUUUUGACGGGCGGAUAAAGGCCCCAGGAAUGUAGCUCCCCCCGGGGAGUGUUAUAGCCUGAGGUACCAUGCGCCCAGUCGGGACCGAGGACCGCGCUUCGGCUAGGAUGCUGGCGUAAUGGUUGUAAGCGACCCGUCUUGAAACACGGACCAAGGAGUCUAACAUCUAUGCGAGUGUUUGGGUGAUAAACCCAUGCGCGGAAUGAAAGUGAACGGAGGUGGGAGCCCUCUCCGGGGGGCGCACCAUCGACCGAUCCAGAUGUCUUCGGAUGGAUUUGAGUAGGAGCAUAGCUGUUGGGACCCGAAAGAUGGUGAACUAUGCCUGGAUAGGGUGAAGCCAGAGGAAACUCUGGUGGAGGCUCGCAGCGGUUCUGACGUGCAAAUCGAUCGUCAAAUCUGGGUAUAGGGGCGAAAGGCAAGCUACCCGGUUGAUUCUUUUCUUACGACAAUAUGCUAACAAAUUUUUAGACUAAUCGAACCAUCUAGUAAAUCGCUACUAGAGAUACUGAAUACAAAGGGGCCGUGGACGCCUCAGUAGUCCCCCGUCUCUGGGGGGCCACAUCGCCGGUCUUCGGGAACACCUUUUGUGGGUUACCCGUACUGAGCUCCGGCUCAGUCACAGGCUAAGUUGCGGUGGCCGCGGGAGCCCGCGGUUAGGAUAUAGUCGGCGGGACCUCUAACGGGGUACCCGGUUCGCGAGCUGGUUUCAGCCGAAGUUUCCCUCAGGAUAGCAGUAACGUUUUCAGUUUUAUGAGGUAAAGCGAAUGAUUAGAGGCCUUGGGGGUGAAACACCCUUAANCUAUUCUCAAACUUUAAAUAUGUAAGAAGUCCUCGUUGCUUCGUUGAACG
This 1231-nucleotide ribosomal RNA is filed under the name Circinaria rogeri. Its description in RNAcentral is "Aspicilia rogeri partial large subunit ribosomal RNA". It matches the Rfam family "Eukaryotic large subunit ribosomal RNA", at positions 116 to 1101 of the family's 3401-position model. Lineage: Eukaryota; Fungi; Ascomycota; Lecanoromycetes; Pertusariales; Megasporaceae. The record is from RNAcentral.